Molecule: ribosomal RNA, 253 nt
Filed under: uncultured bacterium
Lineage: Bacteria
Description: partial 16S ribosomal RNA
Rfam family: Bacterial small subunit ribosomal RNA
Source: RNAcentral
GACGAACCUUGCAGACGUUAUUCGGAAUCACUGGGCUUAAAGGGUGCGUAGGCUGUGCAGAAAGUUGGGUGUGAAAUACCUCGGCUUAACCGAGGAAUUGCGCCCAAAACUACUGUGCUCGAGGAAGAUAGAGGUGAGCGGAACUUAGGGUGGAGCGGUGAAAUGCGUAGAUAUCAGGAGGAACACCGGUGGCGAAAGCGCUCAUCUGGCCCAAUACUGACGCUGAGGCGCGAAAGCUAGGGGAGCAAACGGG